AGGGUAGAGCCAAGAUGCUGUUGACCAUAAAUACUUCCAUUAGCCAAUGGAAAUAGUCACGAGGUUUGAUUCAUGGUGGAGUUUUGCCUGUCAUGUUAGGAGAAGUUCCCAGGUACCAGAGCAGAUGGUUUUACGAUUAAAGAACCCCAGAGGUGACACGAGCAAUCAUAAUUUCAACCACUGCUUCUGGAGGACUGUAAAUGCGUUGCUUAAAAUCAUUCCAUGUCUCAGGGAAACAUCUAUUUCACCAAUGAAAACAAAUGAGCAGAACAAGGUGGAAUGCAACAGAGAGAGACCUGAAAAUGCUAGAAGAGAAAAGUAGGACAAGAACUGUACCACUGCCUCAGACAGCACCAAAAAAUUAAGUAAGAUUGAACAAACUCCAAAAUCCUGAGUGACUUAUACAUGUGCUUUUAUAUAUUUACAUACAGAUGAUGAUGAUGAUGAUGAUGAUGGAUGAUGAUGACAGAUAUGGAUAUAUACAUGUGUAUAUGUGUACGUAGGAUGGAAGAACUUACCAAUGUCCCAGGUAAGGGGGUUAUUCUGUUCCAUCUCCCUCUUCCCUAUGACAUACCAAAUACAGGCCAUCCAGUGAGCAAGCAAGGCAAACAUGGACAUGAGAAGCGUGAGAACGAUUGUGCUGUGCUGGGUAACGAUCCAGCUUCUGAAGGAGACGCAACAGGCGGAGCAACCGCACCGUCUUUAGAAGGUGGACAAGGGAAACCUAGGAGAAGACGAAAGAAAAAACUUGUCAGCAGCUUACUUCUGCCACACAGAUUUCUUGCUGCAAUGAAAGGAAAUUCAGAAGCUCUAUGAAAUUUUGUCCGCUCUUCACAGUUACAUGGCUACUAGACUAAAUCUUAAGA
Long non-coding RNA from Chiroxiphia lanceolata (lance-tailed manakin), 866 nucleotides. RefSeq lists it as uncharacterized. The record is from RefSeq and is a predicted model, not a curated record. The transcript is spliced from 4 exons. NCBI's taxonomy places the organism in Eukaryota, Metazoa, Chordata, Aves, Passeriformes, Pipridae.